UACAGAGGGUGCAAGCGUUAAUCGGAAUUAUUGGGCGUAAAGGGCUUGUAGGUUGUUAUUUAAGUUAGAUGUGAAAGCCCUGGGCUUAACCUGGGAUGUGCAUUUAAUACUGGAUGACUAGAGUAGUGCAGAGGAGUGGGGAAUUCCUGGUGUAGCAGUGAAAUGCGUAGAGAUCAGGAGGAACAUCAGUGGCGAAGGCGCCACUCUGGGCACAUACUGACACUGAGGAGCGAAGGCGUGGGGAUCAAACAGG
Molecule: ribosomal RNA, 253 nt
Filed under: uncultured bacterium
Lineage: Bacteria
Description: partial 16S ribosomal RNA
Rfam family: Bacterial small subunit ribosomal RNA
Source: RNAcentral